CUGCCGGCAUGCCUAACACAUGCAAGUCGAACGGUAACAGGUCUUUCGGGAUGCUGACGAGUGGCGGACGGGUGAGUAAUGCGUAGGAAUCUGCCUUUUAGUGGGGGACAACCUGGGGAAACUCAGAGCUAAUACCGCAUGUGGUCUAAGAGAUUAAAGCUGGGUUCGCCUGGCGCUAAAAGAGGAGCCUACGUCAGAUUAGCUAGUUGGUGGGGUAAAGGCCUACCAAGGCGAAGAUCUGUAGCUGGUCUGAGAGGAUGACCAGCCACACUGGGACUGAGACACGGCCCAGACUCCUACGGGAGGCAGCAGUGGGGAAUAUUGGACAAUGGGCGAAAGCCUGAUCCAGCAAUGCCGCGUGUGUGAAGAAGGCCUUAGGGUUGUAAAGCUCUUUCAAUUGUGAAGAUAAUGACGGUAGCAAUAGAAGAAGCUCCGGCUAAAUUCGUGCCAGCAGCCGCGGUAAUACGAAUGGAGCAAGCGUUGUUCGGAA
This 490-nucleotide ribosomal RNA is filed under the name uncultured Alphaproteobacteria bacterium. RNAcentral describes it as "bacterial SSU rRNA". It matches the Rfam family "Bacterial small subunit ribosomal RNA", at positions 36 to 550 of the family's 1533-position model. The record is from RNAcentral. Lineage: Bacteria; Pseudomonadati; Pseudomonadota; Alphaproteobacteria.